UCUUCCUUCCUUUUUUUUUCAUUUUUCCCCUUAUUCCUUUCCCUUCCUUUCCUCUCCUCCCUCUCCCCUUUCCUCCCAGAUCCGGAUCGGCUUCUCUCAUUCUCAUUUCCAAAUUCCUUUUCAUUCCGCACGACGAUUUGGCUUCUCCCUCCGCCGGCCACCGAGACAGCUCAGCCCCGCCGCCUUCUGCCGGGAGACCGCCCAGUCGGCCUCUUUCGUGCGCGCCAUGACUCUAUGCCCUGCGAGGUGCGCGUCACCUCUCGUCCAUCCGUCUUCCCUCCGCGUGCGCUAGGGUUUCCUGCCCCCAUGCCCGCCGCCCGCCGCCGGCGAGGCAGCUCGGCCCCGCGUCGACGCUUGCCUCUGGGAGGCGGAUCGGGGCCCCGCCCUGAUGCAUGCCGGUUCUCUGGCGGCAGUGUUGAGGUUCAGCCGAGGAAGCGUCCUGAUGUUGGAAGCGGUGGUUGGAGCGCGGCGAAGGACGCGCGGCUCGACGUCCGGCGAUUAGCAGCGAGAGAGAGGUGACGUGGGGUGCGGCGUCAGGAACACAGUACGGACCGGUGGAUCCUAGCGGGCGCCGCUGGAUCGUCUCGCCGAAGCGCCGGAUCCUUGCGCACACCGCUGAGAAUCGGAGCCGCGGAUCCGUCGGAGUAGAGGACCCAGUGCUGCGCGAUGCGGCCGCCGGCAAAACGGCAUUCCGGCGAGUUACUUCGCAAGCUAAGCGCCGCUCUCUCUCAAUACACCUUCUUCUACGGACUGCAGUACACGAAUGCGAUAUUCGCUAUAACUUUCACCAACAUGGCCCCUGUGCUCACUUUCCUCAUUGCAGUCUUACUAAGGUUCUCCAGGAUCCGAACAUUUUUCACUUCCUGCUUUUGCAUAUGAAAAAGCAUUUAUUAUUCUCCAUAACUCCAUUUAAAAUCUUUGUUCAAAGUUGAUAUACUAGAGUCUAUAAAUCUGUGUGGUACAUUUAGCACCGAGUUCGCAAUGAACUGUUGGAUGUUUGGUCAAGCAGAAGGAAAUAUGAGGAUGACAGUGAUUCAUUUGAUGAGUCCUUAGGGGGGGAUGAUCAAGGGAGUUUGCCCACUGUUUUUAUAUAUCAAGUCAAUUGUGCUUCAUUUGGAGGCGGCUCGGGCUCGACCUUCAACACGCUCCAGUGCUGGAAACGGAGACGGGGCUGGGGAUGGCGUGGAUCUCACGAAAGCGGUGGCAGAUGAGGCAAGCUUCGACCACGAUGGAACGACGCGAUGCGAGCGGGGCCGCUUACUACGAGCAGUGGUUGGAGCAUGGCGGCGGAUCCUACAGUGAUGGCUGCACAACACACUUGCGAUUUUCAUGAGCCUUCCACUUUGUUGUCUCUUUUAUUCUCCCAUGCUGAAUGUGUUCCUGAUCUCUGUGUUGUUGGUAGGGGGAGAUGUGCAAGGCUGCCAUUGAUGGAUCCAAGUAAGUUUCUGGUUCGCCUGUCAAAUGAUUGAUGAAUUGCCUGCGUGGGGGCACUGACGCACCAUCUAUGUUAUCAGUGUGCGUGUGUGCUUGUUGCAGAACUGUUGAAUGUUUGACCAAGCAAAAGGAAAAGGCAUUGGUAAAAAUAGUAGUAAGGAUUAGCAGAAGAAAUACAGAUACUAGUUAUUAAAACCACAACAUGUAUUCUGAUAUAUUUCUUUUUCAAUGUUACUAUACUAUAUUUGCCAGAGUUUUUGCA
RNA transcript from Panicum virgatum (switchgrass), 1696 nucleotides. RefSeq lists it as uncharacterized. Lineage: Eukaryota; Viridiplantae; Streptophyta; Magnoliopsida; Poales; Poaceae. The transcript is spliced from 5 exons. The record is from RefSeq and is a predicted model, not a curated record.